Molecule: long non-coding RNA, 430 nt
Filed under: Linum usitatissimum (flax)
Lineage: Eukaryota; Viridiplantae; Streptophyta; Magnoliopsida; Malpighiales; Linaceae
Description: long non-coding RNA (LUSI_LNC002457)
Source: RNAcentral
UGCUUGAUCUGCAUCUCGGCGAAGAGCUUGCUCAGCACCACCGUCUGCCGCCGCGCCUUGUCCAUCGCGGCGGAGGCCAGCGCGUUGAUGUCCUUGGCUUGGGCCAUCUUGGGGUCGGAGCUGACCGUUUUGAUGCAGGAGCGGAGGCCAGCGCGUUGAUGUCUUUGGCUUGGGCCAUCUUGGGGUCAGAUUUGACCAUUUUGAUGCAAGACGUGUAGUCGUUGCUCUUCUUGCAGACGGAUUCGUGCAGGGAAGCGGUAGAUGCCGCAGCCGGCGGCGAAUGGGAGGUGGUUCGAUGGAGGAGCGAACAUAGAAGGAGAACGAUUAGCGUUGUGUACUUGGACGCCAUUUUUGAAUUUUGAAUUUUUUUUAAAAAGGUUUUAUAGGAUUGGUGAUUGGAAACUAAUUUUAGAGGGAGGGGUUUUAUUAG